UCUCGAAUCGCUCUCGUGGUACUUUGAAGCUAUACGUCACAGUCACAUGGUGUCGGCGCUGUCUCAAGUCGGACAAAAUUUCUUACCGGCAUGCACUGCUUCAAGUCAGCCGCCGAUCGGUCUGUGCGGCGCUGCAUGAGCUCGAACACACCUAUUGUCUCCUUCAGAACACAUCGCGAUAUUUGGCAUCAGUUCGCGUGUGCUGGAUGUUGGUAAGUAGUCGUAAAUACGCUGUUCUAAUGUUUGAUAUAAUGUCUUUUCUGUUUGCAGAUAUUAAUCAGAUUAACGUUAGCUCCCUCAUGUUCAGUCACUGCAUUAUAUCUGUCACCUCCGCUGAGGUUUUGCUUUUCAUUGCUUUCUAUAUUAAAUACUAAACUAGGGUGAUUAAACACUGUCACGUGACGUGCAAUAUAUUGCACAAUAUAAUAUAACAUAUUCAUAUCAGGUUCAAAGUAGUACAAGUGUAGUUUCAAAAUGGUAUUUGUUGUAGAAGCACGGUAAAAAAAACAACACUUACCAUGCUUUUUACCACAGUAUUGGUAGUUUUAAUGUGAUUUUUGUUGUAAAUACAGAGUAACCACAACACUUAUCAUGCUUUUAAUGCCUAAUAAUGUUAAAUCCAAAAACUGUAAGGUCAAUAAGAACUUCUUUCCUAUAUAUAUUUAGGCUAUAUAUAAACCUAUAUAUUAUAAAUAAUGAUAUUUUCUUUUCUCUUGUUUUAGCUGAAAAGACAAAAAGGGCCUUUCGGAAAUGGAUGAAGGAGACAGAAAGCUGCAAAGGCAAAUAAUUGCAAUGGAUUACUUGCAGAUUACUUAGUCCUUCUUUUUAGGAUCUCUACAACGUCAAACUCAACAGCUCUUUUAAGAGCCGACCCUCACAAGAGCUACUAGUGAGUCGCUGCAAACCUGCCGUGAUCAGCCCUUUCCAGAGAAGGAAGACCAGUCCUUAUAUCAAAACAAGCUCAUCGAAGUCCUUUGUUUAGGGUGAGGAAGGAACAUGACCAUCUCAUGCCCAAAGAAGACAGAAGUCCAUUGAUAGCAAGUGAAGUCACUAACAGACGAUCCUAGAGGAAAAACGACUGAUGUGCAGCUACGGAGGAACACAAGAGGCAGAAACUAUGCAUGGCCAUGGCUUCUUCAUGAGUAUGGUUAUCACUUGGUUUUUGACCAAAUUAUGCUCUUGAAACAAGAAACAGAAGAGUAUGUUGUCCUGAAAGAAAUCAAGGCUCAAAAGAGAGCAUGCCUUUCUAAAAGAUCUUUUAAAACGGGUUGCUGUUAAUAUGGGUAAAACAGUUUUUGUUCAGUACUUAGCUUACAGUCUGUGCUGCAUUUUUAUUAUAAUAUAUAUAUUAUGUACUGCUGUUUUGUAAAGUUAAAUCAGGAACAGGCAACUCUAGCCCUUUUGCUGUCUCCUUUUUGAGGUGGAGAGUUUACCUCCAACCAUAAUUGAGCACACCUGAAAAUUUUAUCCAAAGUCUUCAGGUGUACUUAUAGACAGUUAUAGGCAGUUGGGUUUGAGGUUGGAGCUAAAUCUGCAGGACCGUGGACGCUGAGGGCCAGAGUAGCCCACCACUGUUUAAAUCAUGCAGAACAUAAGCUGACCUGGCUGUCCAUUAAACUACUUAACUUGAAUUGUCUGUGUUUUUU
Long non-coding RNA from Megalobrama amblycephala (Wuchang bream), 1646 nucleotides. RefSeq lists it as uncharacterized. The transcript has 5 exons. The record is from RefSeq and is a predicted model, not a curated record. Lineage: Eukaryota; Metazoa; Chordata; Actinopteri; Cypriniformes; Xenocyprididae.